Molecule: ribosomal RNA, 1734 nt
Filed under: Triticum aestivum (bread wheat)
Lineage: Eukaryota; Viridiplantae; Streptophyta; Magnoliopsida; Poales; Poaceae
Description: partial small subunit ribosomal RNA
Source: RNAcentral
AUGGAGGGCGGCGCUCACGAGUUCGACGGCUCGGCCUUCAGGGAGUGCUUCUCCCUCUCCUGGCGGAACCCCUACGUCCUCCGCCUCGCCUUCUCCGCCGGCAUCGGCGGCCUCCUCUUCGGCUACGACACCGGUGUCAUUUCAGGGGCACUGCUUUACAUCCGCGACGAUUUCCGCUCCGUCGACAAGAACACAUGGCUUCAGGAAAUGAUCGUGAGCAUGGCGGUGGCCGGCGCCAUCAUCGGCGCGGCGGUCGGCGGCUGGGCCAACGACAGGUUCGGGCGGCGGACGUCCAUCCUCGUGGCCGACCUGCUCUUUUUCGCGGGCGCGGUGGUCAUGGCUUCGGCGACGGGCCCCGUGCAGCUCGUGGUCGGCCGCGUCCUCGUCGGCCUAGGCGUCGGUAUGGCAUCCAUGACGGCGCCGCUUUACAUCUCCGAGGCGUCGCCGGCGAGGAUCAGGGGCGCGCUCGUCAGCACCAACGGCUUCCUCAUCACCGGCGGCCAGUUCUUGUCCUACCUUAUCAACCUCGCAUUCACCAAGGCGCCGGGGACGUGGAGGUGGAUGCUCGGAGUCGCCGGCCUCCCUGCCGUGUUCCAGUUCGUCCUCAUGCUCUUCCUCCCCGAAUCGCCAAGAUGGCUUUACAGAAAGGGGAGGGUGGAGGAAGCAGAAGCGAUCCUGCGUAAGAUAUACACGGCCGAGGAGGAGGUGACGAGGGAGAUGCAGGAGUUGAAGGAGUCGGUGGAGGUGGAGGCGCGGGAGCGGGGCUCGUCGGAGAAGGUAAGCCUGACGGCGCUGGCGAAGACGCCAACUGUGCGGCGGGCGCUGGUGGCCGGCGUCGGGCUGCAGGUGUUCCAGCAGCUCGUGGGUAUCAACACCGUGAUGUACUACAGCCCGAGUAUCGUGCAGCUCGCCGGGUUCGCCUCCAACCAAACGGCGCUCGCGCUCUCGCUGGUCACCUCCGGCCUCAACGCGCUCGGCUCCAUCGUUAGCAUCUACUUCAUUGACCGCACCGGCCGGAGGAAGCUGCUGGUGAUCAGCCUCGUCGGCGUCAUCGCGUCGCUUGCCCUGCUCUCCGCGGUGUUCCACCAGACAACCACACACUCGCCCGCCGUCGGCAGCGCGGAGACCAGACACUUCGAUGGCUCGCUCACAUGCCCGGGCUACCGGACGAGCAGCUCCGGCUGGGACUGCACCCGGUGCCUCAAGGCCAGCUCGACGGGGUGCGGCUUCUGCGCGUCCGGCGCCGGCAGCAAGCUGCUCCCGGGCGCGUGCCUGCUGUCGAACGCGACGGUGCGCGACGCGUGCCACGGCGAGGGGCGACUGUGGUACACGCGCGGCUGUCCGAGCCGAUACGGUUGGCUGGCGAUGGUCGGGCUGGCUCUGUACAUCGCCUUCUUCUCGCCGGGAAUGGGCACGGUGCCCUGGAUCGUCAACUCAGAGAUCUACCCGCUGCGGCACCGCGGUGUGUGCGGUGGCGUGGCGGCGACCGCGAACUGGGUGUCCAACCUGGUAGUGGCGCAGUCGUUCCUGACGCUGACGGAGGCCAUCGGCCCCGCGUGGACGUUCCUCAUCUUCGGUUGCCUGUCCGUGGCAGCGCUCGCGUUCGUGCUCGUCUGCGUGCCGGAGACCAAGGGACUCCCCAUCGAGGAGGUGGAGAAGAUGCUGGAGAUGCGGGAGCUCAGGCUCAAGUUCUGGGCACCGCGUGGCCGCGGCAGCAAGAACGACGGGGUGUGA